UACGUAGGGUCCAAGCGUUAUCCGGAUUUACUGGGUGUAAAGGGCGAGUAGACGGCAUAGCAAGUCAGAUGUGAAAACUUAGAGCUCAACUUUAAGCGUGCAUCUGAAACUGUUAAGCUAGAGUGCAGAAGAGGUAAGUGGAAUUCCUAGUGUAGCGGUGAAAUGCGUAGAUAUUAGGAGGAACACCAGUGGCGAAGGCGACUUACUGGGCUGUAACUGACGUUGAGGAGCGAAAGUGUGGGGAGCAAACAGG
This 253-nucleotide ribosomal RNA is filed under the name uncultured bacterium. Its description in RNAcentral is "partial 16S ribosomal RNA". It matches the Rfam family "Bacterial small subunit ribosomal RNA", at positions 524 to 776 of the family's 1533-position model. The record is from RNAcentral.